Polyodon spathula (Mississippi paddlefish) is the source of this 2256-nucleotide long non-coding RNA. RefSeq lists it as uncharacterized. Lineage: Eukaryota; Metazoa; Chordata; Actinopteri; Acipenseriformes; Polyodontidae. The transcript is spliced from 5 exons. The record is from RefSeq and is a predicted model, not a curated record.
AGUGAACAAAACAAAUAUUGUGCAAGUAGCAGAGUAAGCAGAACAAAGGCUGAAAUAUCAUUAAUAACAUGGCAUAACUAAGAUAAACAGUAACUUGAUUACAGUUGCUACCACACUCCUUAGAGUGUAACACCCACUGCCUAAAGCAAAUAAAAUUAUAAAUGCAGCCUAAACUGGGCUUGAAGCGGAGUCACAUGUUCAGAUUCUUGUAACAAAUGACUGUUUCUGAACAGACUAUACUACUUAGUCUUCUCAACUGCAGUGCAGCACAGAACCCAAGGAAAGAAGCUAUCAGGACAAGGCAAGCAUGGGCCUCUUUCAAACCAAACAUGUUGGAGUACAUGUACAUGGAGGGGAAACUCUAAAGAUCCAUGAAGACUAUACAUCACAACUUGCAGAAAGGGCAAACUAUCCAAGGUGGAUGAUGUCUGGCCAAAUCUGCUGCUUAUGUGUGUGGUUAGUUACAUGUGCAAAGUGGAUCUGGGGCUUCAUCAAUCCAAAGAAGACACAAUUCCAUUUCAACUUACCCAACACUGGGAACCCGUCUCUGCUUUUUAUUUAUGAGGCCACCAGGAUUUUCGAUGAUAUAGAAAGCUCCUUGAGAAGAUAUCAAGGUCCGCAUGUUGCUAUUGUUAUAUUUAAGAAAUUAAAACCAAAUGAAACUGCAUACGCCUGUGAUCAGUUACUCAAACAAAAUAAUCUGGAAUCAAGAACACAUUCGCCAGUAGUUGGAUGCUACUGGUCUGAAGUGAACGGUGAGCGAAAGAUGUGCCAAUGCAGAGAAAACGAGGACUCAAAGAAGACGGUUAUUGAUUUACUCUCCAAAAUACCAUGGGAGAGGAGCUCUAUUUGUAAUUCAAACUAUCGGCCACUGUAGCAGAUGACCUUUGUGACGAUGAACCUUCAAGUGCUUAAAAUGGGAUACAUCCUGGAUGGAUUCAGGGAAUAUUCUGUACCUUUUCAAUGGAAUUUGAUCUAGACUGUUUAGAAGCUGCUCCCACAUUGUUUUAUCCUCGUAUACAAUAUCUCUGCUUGUUACUUGUGCACUUAUGCUUUGUUUUAUAUUGUCUUUUUAAAUAAUAUAGUGGGAUCAAUGUAUUUUAUAGUGAAGAUAUAAAAGAAAUUGAUAAAUAUUUAUGUUCUGAAUACACAUGAUCUAAAAAAUAUGUUCCUUAGAUUUUCAUUCCUAAGCAUACCUUACUCCAAAGCAUCUCAAAGAGCAUCCAAGCAAAGACACAAUGAUUUAAUCAGGUCUUAAAUACAGAUAAUACAAAUACUAUUUACAAUUCUAUUCAGAGGCACAGUGUUGGAAAGAUUGGGAGAAGCAGCAGUUUUGAAAAUUUAUUUACGCUUCACAGCUGUGUCUUGUAGUGAACAGGCAUCACUGGCUGUUCAAUAUUACUUUAACAGCUGUGAAUAAAUCAAAGCAAAUUCGAAAUAGAAUCAGUGAGUUAUAAAACUGCCAUUGAGAGUUUUAUUAUUAACAGCAAAAAAAAAAAAAAUGAUCCUGAUUUAGCCCAAUCAUAAUGAAGUUGUAUUGAAAUACAGAUAAAUCAACAGUCACUUGCAUAAGGACCACACAGUAGAUCAGCUAAUGCCCAUCAAAGGUAUGACAAGCAAAGGAGUUGGCAAGGGGAGGUCUCUCUGGCAGGCUGCAGGGUAUGAGUCAGCUGAUCCUCCUUGCUGCACCUGGGGCUUAGUGAUUCAUCAAGCUGGGUACGGGUAGGAACAGAUGAAGGACCUCUUCAUUGAGCAGUCCGCAAGGCUCCACCACUUCAGGUCUGUGAGAGAGAGGUUGUGAAACACUUCUUUGUGGUAAACAACGUGUACAACUUCUAGCAGGUAACAAGUGAUGAAUUCUUAUAAUUAUUAUUAGUAAUAUUAGUAUUAUACAGAACAGGGGGUUAUCUAUUAAACCAACACUUAUUAAUUAACUGUGCAUGGAAUUGCAUUUCUGUAGUGUACUUUGCUUGUACAAAAUAAACACCAUGUGCAGCAUGUAAAUCAAAAAUACUGUGAAACUAAUGCUGCAGUUCUAUGGCAUUGCUCACCCAUCAUGAACAUUCGCAGGCAGUAUUGCUCAUCAUCCCUCCGGUCAUGGUUGCACUUUCCAGGCAUCCAGUAGCUGUAUCCCUAAUUGGACCCAUCAGUCCAUAUGUAUUGUCCAGUCUAAGAGGGACACAGGGACAGAAUGGACUGGACACGAAGCAUACCAGCCAUAGAUACCUAUCCUGCACUCCCUUAAAUCUGAAACUC